Oncorhynchus kisutch (coho salmon) is the source of this 333-nucleotide long non-coding RNA. Lineage: Eukaryota; Metazoa; Chordata; Actinopteri; Salmoniformes; Salmonidae. The record is from Ensembl.
AUGAAGAACGGCAUUAAAUGUUUUUAUGUCACGAAAAGUACAACCCAGAUGGGCUGGCAAUACGUGUUGUAUGUAAAGUCAGCGAAUGUGGUUGAGAGGUUGCCCAAGUCACAAGAAGUUUGCAAGACUGCAGCAGCCAACAUUGAAAUGCAUAAAACUAGGAUCAGUCUAGGCUCGGUAUUCAAGGAAAAUGGAGGGCAGUUCCAAACAGGCUCUAGCACUUGCGUGCUCCAGAAGAGGCUUGCUUCCAACGUUCUGCCCUGUGUGAAGAAGAGAUGGCAAAACUCCUCGUGCUCCAGAAGAGGCUUGCUUCCAACGUUCUGCCCUGUGUGA